AACACAUGGAGUCAGGCACAUGUUUAAGAAAAUAGCAUCUUCUGUGGGCUCUUGUUGCUUUUGGGAAUACUGCAUGCGAACCGGGGCUUUGAUAAUUUCUGCAAAGCAUAGUGGCACGAGGAAAGAAGGCUGCUUGCUGACAGUAACCUACAGACAAACGAAAACCCGGGCUGUGUCCUGAGAGUUUUAGCAGCAGGCAGGCACAAGAACUCAGAAAAGAAGAAAGAGAUGGAGAAAAAUGACUCAAGAAAGAAUUGUUAGCCUGAUGGAAGAGUGAGUGGUCUCGACUCAGAAGCCCCCAGAUUUGUUUGAGAUGACAUCAUUACUUACUAACAGGACAACGUGAAUGCACCUGUUAGUGGGUGUGACUGUUUAUUCACGGAGCCCCUGGGUCCUGGACUGUCAGCUCCACGGUGCAGGAGCCAUUCAUCACGUGGGGCUACUGAGCACUUGAGAUGCAGCUACUUUACGCUUGGAUGUACUGGGAAUUUGUGGAGGCUGGGAAGUACAGAGGCAAAGUGGUGGCAUCUGGCGAACACUUUCUUUCUGCAUCAUGCCAUGAUGGAGGGAUCACACAGUGAUGGCGCACAGGACCAACAGAGCUGGUUUUUAUACCAAAGCCACUUCGCAUUAACUAACCCAGUCCUGCAAUAAACCUGCAUGAUUUAAUUACUUC
Molecule: long non-coding RNA, 676 nt
Organism: Chinchilla lanigera (long-tailed chinchilla)
Lineage: Eukaryota; Metazoa; Chordata; Mammalia; Rodentia; Chinchillidae
Exons: 5
Source: RefSeq, a predicted model, not a curated record